UCUAUUCUCAAAGAGCUUCACCGGGCAAGUACCGAUGCUACUUCCACCACACUUCCAAGAGCUUCACCGGGCAUCACAUAAACAUAAAUCCAACCUCACAAGAGAUAAUCAUCUUUAUACUCACACAACCACCCAAUAUUAUUCAUAUAUACCUAACAUUUUCGAAACAAUCAUUAAACAGUCACAAAAUAAUAACAAUUCAACCCAAAAUAAAAUAAUCAACCAUUUACUGAACACGCAUCCCU
RNAcentral lists this long non-coding RNA (245 nucleotides) under Vigna radiata. RNAcentral describes it as "long non-coding RNA (VRAD_LNC011761)". Lineage: Eukaryota; Viridiplantae; Streptophyta; Magnoliopsida; Fabales; Fabaceae. The record is from RNAcentral.